AUUGAACGCUGGCGGCAGGCCUAACACAUGCAAGUCGAGCGGAUGAAGGUAGCUUGCUACCUGAUUCAGCGGCGGACGGGUGAGUAAUGCCUAGGAAUCUGCCUGGUAGUGGGGGACAACGUUUCGAAAGGAACGCUAAUACCGCAUACGUCCUACGGGAGAAAGUGGGGGAUCUUCGGACCUCACGCUAUCAGAUGAGCCUAGGUACGAUUAGCUAGUUGGUGAGGUAAAGGCUCACCAAGGCGACGAUCGUUAACUGGUCUGAGAGGAUGAUCAGUCACACUGGAACCGGGACACGGUCCAGACUCCUACGGGAGGCAGCAGUGGGGAAUAUUGGACAAUGGGCGAAAGCCUGAUCCAGCCAUGCCGCGUGUGUGAAGAAGGUCUUCGGAUUGUAAAGCACUUUAAGUUGGGAGGAAGGGCAGUAAGUUAAUACCUUGCUGUUUUGACGUUACCGACAGAAUAAGCACCGGCUAACUUCGUGCCAGCCGCCGCCGUAA
This 500-nucleotide ribosomal RNA is filed under the name uncultured bacterium. Its description in RNAcentral is "partial 16S ribosomal RNA". It matches the Rfam family "Bacterial small subunit ribosomal RNA", at positions 30 to 523 of the family's 1533-position model. The record is from RNAcentral.